UUUAGAGUGGGGCUUCCAAAAGUAUCUAGAAUGGGGACUGAGCAUGGCGGUCCCUGUGCUAUUAGAAAGCCCAAGGGCUGGGGAUUUAGCUCAGUGGUUUCACCGCCUGCUGCGCAAGUGCAAGGAGCUGAGUUCAAUCCCUGGUACCAAAAAACAAAAAAAAAAGAAAAGAAAGCCCAAGGGCCAAGCACUGUCAGCAGUGCCUUGGUUGGUGUCUUGGCUGGCUGGCAAUGCCUGCCCGGUUGGCAUUUCCUGGGAGCGGGGCAAAGCCCCUGGACAAGUUCAAGGACCCACAAAGGGCAGCACUUUGGGGGCCACAGACCCACUGGUCCUCCUGGACGCUCAGGGACACUGGCUGCUGGGCACAGUUUGUCCUCUCUGGGCUAGGCCACUAAGGGGCCGGGCACUGUCAAGGGGGCAAGCGUGACACCCGGCAUCCCCUCCCCCUAGGACAGUGUCAGGACUUAGGAGCCUCGGGCAGGCGGCAGUGUCCCAUCUGGGAUUGUUUAAUGAGUCUACUUCUUACACGCAUAAUUAUAAAAGAAUAAGAAUUGACAAAAAUAUUUUCUUUCCAUAAUAUGUAGAGGUGGUUUCCUUCCUUCCUUUUUUUUUUUCUCCUUUUCUUUUUGCUCUUUGCCUGAACUCUUGGAGGGGAAGGGAAGGAAGUGGGACCAGGACCCCAUGGUGGGCAGUUCCCACUCCCAACACCGGGACCCUGUGUCAGGGCCAGGCAGACGUGUGUGGCUGGACAGCUGGGGAGGGGAGAGCAAGGGCAGGAGGGCUCCUUGCGUCCACAGGCGUCAACCCCAGCAGGCCCUGGCCACUCUGCCGUCUGGGCUUUGGACACGCAGGGCUCACAGUGGAGGGUGGACACCCCACUGCCCAGCCACACACCCUGAUUCUAGAUCUAGGCACCCCUUGCUUUCUGUCUCUUAGUUAUGUAAAAUGCCCCUUGAGGGAAUGCAGAUAUGAAGUGGGUGGCGGCGGGGAGGGAGGACAGGCAUUCCCAGGCUCCUGUGCUGGGGACGGUGGCUGCCAGCACAGGGGACCCAGGCCAUCGGGGUGGAGGGCACCCAGGGCUGUGCCCACCUCACUCCCCAGCCUGGCUCCUCGGAGUCUCUUCUGGCCGAAGAGCUGGGUGGCCCAAGGCAGUGUCACCUGCGGAUCAGCCACCGUCUCUGUCCUGGCAACCAAGAAGCAGCAAGCAAAGCAAACCAGGAGCAGUAAUUAAAAAAAAAAAAAAAAAAGGAUUGAAGGAGUUAGGGCGGGAAAGGCAGCGGUGAGGUGGCUCCUCCUGGGCCUCAAGGCUGUCCUGGGGCGGGUGGCAGGACAGGCGCCCAGGCGGGUGUGUGGGGCCACUGGGGGCCUCUGCCUGGCCCUGGGCUUUGUGCUCUGGAGUGAGGCCCGGCGGCUCAGAGGUAUUCUUGGAGAAAGUGCAGCAGCGUGACCUCGUAGUGCUCGCCUGACUCGGGGCAUCGGAUACUGUGUCUCUCGUUGGGGUAGAU
RNAcentral lists this long non-coding RNA (1505 nucleotides) under Heterocephalus glaber (naked mole-rat). RNAcentral's name for it is "lncRNA (ENSHGLG00100047091.1)". Lineage: Eukaryota; Metazoa; Chordata; Mammalia; Rodentia; Bathyergidae. The record is from RNAcentral.